AUCAACCGUAUUUCCAUGUGGGUUGUACACUGAACCCUCAGAAAUUCUUAAAAACCCUGGCAUACAUUACAGACACUAAAGUACCUUUCUGCUGGGGUUUCAAAACUACUAAAAGGGAUAGCUCUUCUGUUAUGAGAGAGAUCUGUUGGACCUCACUGUGUCUAAGUCUGUCUUCUUGUCAUAAAACUAGCAGGUUGUGCCAGUGUGCGUGCCAAUGCCAACAUUUUUCUUUCACUGCUGUAUGUAUGCCAGAUCCCUGCCUAUCUUUUAACCAGAAGUGGAUGAAUUUCAGUGAAGUUAUAAAACUGAAUGGUCAUCUGUGGACAAGGGUCUUAGUACAGUUCCAGAGGGGCAACUCUUACUACUAGACUCUUCAUGUUACAGACUGGAUCAUGUGGGACAUCACUGAUGCUGCAUUAUUUUAUCAUUUGUGGCUCGGUCUGAGGUUUCAGGCAGGCUACUCUUUGACUUUAGGACUGAAUUAUGCCCCAGUUUCCGAUGUAUCUACCUUCCCUGGCUUUGGUGCUUGGAGAGGAGUAAAUUCUUGCAAACAAUUAGCUAAUGCUGCCAGUGAAAAUGCUAAUGUAGUGGCUGAAGUCAGGGCUUUGACUCCCCUCAGUCCAUUUGCUCACAUUUGAGCAUUCAGAGAGCAGGGGUGGUGCUCCUGAUUCAGGUCCAAGAUCAAGGUGGACCCAUCCAAGUGGGAUCUUUGACCGUUCUCACCGAAGUAACAUAAGGAAACUGUUUAACUUCCUCUUAAUUUUAUACCAAAAAAGAACAUUCCUUUUCCUUUCCCUUCCCCCCCCCCCAAAAAAAGAAGAGCCCUUCUGGCAUGCUGUCUUUGAAUAUGUUUCCCUGUUUGGGUUUCUCCCACAGGAUGGAAAUGGGGGGUUAACCAAACUGAUAUUCGUAUAGGAAAUGAUGUGAGAAGCUGUAAGACAAAUCAUAGUUGGUAUGGAAAAUGUGAUGUAACCAGAACACAGUUUUUUCAGGGGCCAGUUCAGAAUUGCAGAAUAAACUCUCACAAGAACUAAGAACUAUUAAAACCUCCUCACCUUCUGCUCUAAAUCCAAGGUGUAUCUCUUUGACUUUGCCUCCUUUAAUGUAAAUUUAUAACACUCUGUCUGUGUACACAUGAAUGCACAUAUAUAAAUCCAAAACAAACCAAUCCACUGAAUACACUUACAUCCCUGGGGAGAGGGUGAGAGAACAAACACAUCUAGAUGUUAGUCAUAUUGCUGCACAGGAAGGCUCUCAGAUAUUAUGGUGAUGAGGCUGGUGAGAAUAUAUUUAGAAUAGAAUGGCGUAAAUCAAGUAACAAGUGCUGAAAAAAGGUGUUUCAGUUUUACGUAUCAUGGAAAUCCAGUAUCCGCAUUCAGUGUUGAAUAAGAAAAAUAGAAGCAUUUUCUUCAAAACUACUACAUUUGUAUAUCUGUAUUUGUUGCAUGUAAUAUUUCAUCAACAUGUUUCUACACACAUGCUUUGCUUCAAGGCUGGUUUUGAUUUCUUUACUUUGGUUGCUAUCUGCAAUUUGCAACUUAGAUCAUAUGAUAAUCUUAUUCAGCCCUGUUUUAAUGCCUGAAGCUUUUAAACAGCAAGAAAUGAAUGAUUGGUGGAAAAGCGAUAAAGAGUGGGUAACAUUAAUUUUGUUUGAAGAUUUAGCAAAAUUUGUGAUCCCUUUA
This is a long non-coding RNA of Gavialis gangeticus (Gharial), 1682 nucleotides long. RefSeq lists it as uncharacterized. The transcript is spliced from 2 exons. NCBI's taxonomy places the organism in Eukaryota, Metazoa, Chordata, Crocodylia, Gavialidae. The record is from RefSeq and is a predicted model, not a curated record.